RNAcentral lists this ribosomal RNA (250 nucleotides) under uncultured bacterium. Its description in RNAcentral is "partial 16S ribosomal RNA". It matches the Rfam family "Bacterial small subunit ribosomal RNA", at positions 333 to 580 of the family's 1533-position model. The record is from RNAcentral.
ACUUGCCUACGGGAGGCAGCAGUGAGGAAUAUUGGUCAAUGGUCGGGAGACUGAACCAGCCAAGCCGCGUGAGGGAGGAAGGUACAGAGUAUCGUAAACCUCUUUUGUCAGGGAACAAAGGCGGGGACGUGUCCCCGGAUGAGUGUACCUGAAGAAAAAGCAUCGGCUAACUCCGUGCCAGCAGCCGCGGUAAUACGGAGGAUGCGAGCGUUAUCCGGAUUUAUUGGGGUUAAAGGGUGCGUAGGCGGAA